AUUGAACGCUGGCGGCGUGCCUAACACAUGCAAGCCGAGCGGUAACAGGUGUAGCAAUACAUGCUGACGAGCGGCGAACGGGUGAGUUAAUGCUUUGGAAUCUUCCCAGUAGUGGGGAAUAACCAGUCGAAAGAUUGGCUAAUACCGCAUACGUCUAGUAAAGGGAAAGCGGGGGACUCGCCUCGUUCUUCAGAAGAGAGGCCUCGCGCUAUUGGAUGAGCCAAAGUCGGAUUAGCUAGUUGGUGGGGUAAUGGCCUACCAAGGCGACAAUCCGUAGCUGGUCU
This 284-nucleotide ribosomal RNA is filed under the name uncultured bacterium. Its description in RNAcentral is "partial 16S ribosomal RNA". It matches the Rfam family "Bacterial small subunit ribosomal RNA", at positions 30 to 293 of the family's 1533-position model. The record is from RNAcentral.